Molecule: small nuclear RNA, 104 nt
Organism: Suncus etruscus (white-toothed pygmy shrew)
Lineage: Eukaryota; Metazoa; Chordata; Mammalia; Eulipotyphla; Soricidae
Source: RefSeq, a predicted model, not a curated record
GUGCUCGCUUUGGCAACACAUAAACUAAAAUUGGAAUGACACAGAGAUUACCAUGGCCCCUGCACAAGGAUGACAUACAAAUUCAUGAAGCAUUCCAUAUUUUU